RNAcentral lists this ribosomal RNA (519 nucleotides) under uncultured eukaryote. Its description in RNAcentral is "SSU rRNA". It matches the Rfam family "Eukaryotic small subunit ribosomal RNA", at positions 1161 to 1704 of the family's 1831-position model. The record is from RNAcentral.
AGGGCACCACCAGGAGUGGAGCCUGCGGCUUAAUUUGACUCAACACGGGAAAACUCACCCGGCCCGGACACCGUAAGGAUCGACAGACUGAGAGCUCUUUCUUAAUUCGGUGGGUGGUGGUGCAUGGCCGUUCUUAGUUGGUGGAGCGAUUUGUCUGGUUAAUUCCGAUAACGAACGAGACUCUGGCCUAUUAAAUAGGCGAUACAUAGAAAAGUGUAUCGAACUUCUUAGAGGGACAAGCGGCGUCUAGCCGCAUGAAAUAGAGCAAUAACAGGCCUGUGAUGCCCUUAGAUGUCCGGGGCUGCACGCGCGCUACACUGAAAGAGUCAGCGUGCGUUUUACCUAGUUCGGAAGAACCGGGUAACCCAAGUAAAUUCUUUCGUGCUUGGGAUAGAGAAUUGCAAUUAUUUCUCUUAAACGAGGAAUUCCCAGUAAAUGCGGGUCAUAAGCUCGCGUUGAUUACGUCCCUGCCCUUUGUACACACCGCCCGUCGCUACUACCGAUUGGAUGACUUAGUGA